Long non-coding RNA from Rhinopithecus roxellana (golden snub-nosed monkey), 367 nucleotides. RefSeq lists it as uncharacterized. The record is from RefSeq and is a predicted model, not a curated record. Lineage: Eukaryota; Metazoa; Chordata; Mammalia; Primates; Cercopithecidae. The transcript has 3 exons.
GCAUGGGAAGGAGGGAUUGCAGUAUGAAUUCCCUAGAUAGGCAAUUUCCUCUACUUCAUCAGGCAAUCCCUGAGCCAAGGGUGAACACCCCUAGAGAUGUGUCUGCCGAAGACCCGUACUGCCAACCAAACAAAAGGUAGAGCAUCUCUCCACACGUUGCUCAAAUCCGGCGUGGUUUGACUCUAGAGUAACCUCCAGUCUUUUCCUCUCCCCUUUUAAGUGCAAGCCUAUACUGCACCAGGACUGAGUCUGGGCAUCAUCCUCUCGCUGGCCCUGGCUGGUGUUCUUGGCAUCUGUGUUGUGGUGGCAGUGUCCAUUUGGCUUUUCAGAAGGAAGAGUAUCAAGAAAGGUGAUAACAAGGGAGUCA